This 299-nucleotide signal recognition particle RNA is filed under the name Cebus imitator (Panamanian white-faced capuchin). RNAcentral's name for it is "Metazoan signal recognition particle RNA (ENSCCAG00000008161.1)". It matches the Rfam family "Metazoan signal recognition particle RNA". From Rfam's summary of the family: The signal recognition particle (SRP) is a universally conserved ribonucleoprotein. Lineage: Eukaryota; Metazoa; Chordata; Mammalia; Primates; Cebidae. The record is from RNAcentral.
GCUGGGUGCAGUGGCGUGUGUCUAUAGUCCCAGCUACUCAGGAGGCUGAGGUGGGAGGAUCGCUUGAGCCCAGGAGUUCUGGGCUGUAGUGCGCUAUGCCGAUCGGGUGUCCGCACUAAGUUUGGAAUCAACAUGGUGACCUCCUGGGAGCGGGGGACCACCAGGUUGCCUAAGGAGGGGUGAACUGGCCCAGGUCGGAAAUGGAGCAGGUCAAAACUCCCGUGCUGAUCCAUAGUGGGAUCGCACCUGUGAAUAGCCACUGCACUCCAGCCUGGGCAACAUAGCGAGACCCUGUCUCU